RNAcentral lists this ribosomal RNA (391 nucleotides) under Yersinia enterocolitica subsp. palearctica YE-149. Its description in RNAcentral is "bacterial SSU rRNA". It matches the Rfam family "Bacterial small subunit ribosomal RNA", at positions 1 to 388 of the family's 1533-position model. The record is from RNAcentral. Lineage: Bacteria; Pseudomonadati; Pseudomonadota; Gammaproteobacteria; Enterobacterales; Yersiniaceae.
AAAUUGAAGAGUUUGAUCAUGGCUCAGAUUGAACGCUGGCGGCAGGCCUAACACAUGCAAGUCGAGCGGCAGCGGGAAGUAGUUUACUACUUUGCCGGCGAGCGGCGGACGGGUGAGUAAUGUCUGGGAAACUGCCUGAUGGAGGGGGAUAACUACUGGAAACGGUAGCUAAUACCGCAUAACGUCUUCGGACCAAAGUGGGGGACCUUCGGGCCUCACGCCAUCGGAUGUGCCCAGAUGGGAUUAGCUAGUAGGUGGGGUAAUGGCUCACCUAGGCGACGAUCCCUAGCUGGUCUGAGAGGAUGACCAGCCACACUGGAACUGAGACACGGUCCAGACUCCUACGGGAGGCAGCAGUGGGGAAUAUUGCACAAUGGGCGCAAGCCUGAUG